UACGAAGGGGGCUAGCGUUGUUCGGAGUUACUGGGCGUAAAGGGCGCGUAGGCGGCGCACCAAGUCAGGCGUGAAAGCCCUGGGCUCAACCCGGGAAUUGCGCUUGAGACUGGUGUGCUUGAGUACGGGAGAGGAUAGUGGAAUUCCCAGUGUAGAGGUGAAAUUCGUAGAUAUUGGGAAGAACACCGGUGGCGAAGGCGGCUAUCUGGGACGGUACUGACGCUGAGACGCGAAAGCGUGGGGAGCGAACAGG
RNAcentral lists this ribosomal RNA (253 nucleotides) under uncultured bacterium. RNAcentral's name for it is "partial 16S ribosomal RNA". It matches the Rfam family "Bacterial small subunit ribosomal RNA", at positions 524 to 776 of the family's 1533-position model. The record is from RNAcentral.